Molecule: non-coding RNA, 87 nt
Filed under: Azotobacter chroococcum
Lineage: Bacteria; Pseudomonadati; Pseudomonadota; Gammaproteobacteria; Pseudomonadales; Pseudomonadaceae
Source: RNAcentral
CUUUAUGGCGGGCCGCGUAGGGGAGCCUUCGGGCUCGCCGGGUUCCUGUACCCCGGUCUUCCACACCCUGCGCGGUUCGUCACCAAU